UAGGGAAUCUUCGGCAAUGGACGAAAGUCUGACCGAGCAACGCCGCGUGAGUGAAGAAGGUUUUCGGAUCGUAAAACUCUGUUGUUAGAGAAGAACAAGGACGUUAGUAACUGAACGUCCCCUGACGGUAUCUAACCAGAAAGCCACGGCUAACUACGUGCCAGCAGCCGCGGUAAUACGUAGGUGGCAAGCGUUGUCCGGAUUUAUUGGGCGUAAAGCGAGCGCAGGCGGUUUCUUAAGUCUGAUGUGAAAGCCCCCGGCUCAACCGGGGAGGGUCAUUGGAAACUGGGAGACUUGAGUGCAGAAGAGGAGAGUGGAAUUCCAUGUGUAGCGGUGAAAUGCGUAGAUAUAUGGAGGAACACCAGUGGCGAAUGCGGCUCUCUGGUCUGUAACUGACGCUGAGGCUCGAAAGAGUGGGGAGCAAACAGG
This 429-nucleotide ribosomal RNA is filed under the name Gemmatimonadota bacterium. RNAcentral's name for it is "Gemmatimonadetes bacterium partial 16S ribosomal RNA". It matches the Rfam family "Bacterial small subunit ribosomal RNA", at positions 355 to 776 of the family's 1533-position model. Lineage: Bacteria; Pseudomonadati; Gemmatimonadota. The record is from RNAcentral.